AUAGAAAAUUAUUUAUCACCUUCAGAAUUAAUACUGAGCAAAUGUCAACAAUCUUCCCUUUUUUCAUGCUGUCACGGAUCAGUGGAAACAAAAAUGGUGUUAAGAUAACCUGCCUGAAACAGAUUCAGCAGCUCUGCUGACAUUUUAAUUCAUAAAAGUUAGGAAACUUAAUACAGCUGUGCCACUGACAAAGCUGCUGUGACUAGUUUCACUAGAAAGUUUCUCCACUGUAGUCUCUGACUCCCUUUUCUGAGAUUCGACAAAGAUCACAAGGAAUGGGGGAAAAAAAAAAAUAAAGAAAAGAUGGGUUUAUAAUACAAAAAACCUUGUCAGAGUAGGGGGUGAGACACCUACAAGUACACUGCUAUCACUUUUUAAACCUGCAAGAUACCAUAUAAAAAUCCUUUUAUAAAAAAGGCUUUUCAGUUCAGUGGAAGAAUGAUUUAGCUUACACCAAAGCUAAUGAAGGUGUUUUACAUUCUCUAGUUUAAAGAGCAAAUUAUGUAUUUGCUUUUGUAAGUAGACUCCUUACAAUAUAUAAUGCAAAACUAAAAUAAAUUGCUGUAAAUAAGUCACAUUUGUCUGCACUUAACCAAGAUUUGCAACAUUCUUGUUGGGUGCCAUUCACAGCCCAGGGAGAUAGCCUCCUCAGGAAUAAUUAAAUCUUUAUUAACACACUUAGGCUAGAUUCUUCAGUUAAAAACCCCCAAAAACCUCACAACAAAAAAACAACCCCCCAACUUGUCCCCUCCCCCCCCCAAAAAAAAAGAAAAAAAAGAAAAAAAGAUCUUCCUCCAUGAAACUACUUCUGAAUGAUACCAGAAGGUGAUAAAGUAGACCAGGGAUGAUAAAGUAGAAAAUUACACUACUUCUUAUACUAAAUAUACUUUUGCAAUUUCGAGCACAUUAACAAAAAACCUUACUUGCCACUGUUUCCCUGCCUACCUCAACUAUUAUUAAUACACACUCUAAAAAACAAAUUCAAGUUUUAUACAGUUUUGAUGACUGUUACUUAAUGACAAACAAGAAAAAACCCACAAAGUAGUAUUUUCAGCCUUAGCAGCUCUCAAGGUAAGUGGUUAUGACAUAAUAAAUUUUGUUAGCUUUCUGCCAGAUCUGUCUAUAACACAGGGUGACUGGUGAAGCCAUUCCAGUGUUUCUUACACACUUCUGUGAAAUCUUCUUCCUCCAGCUGGGUCACACUCUCUUACUUAACCCUUCCUGUCAUUUUAACUUACAGAAACAAAUACCCUUUCCUUUCAGGUGGAUUUAAUCUGAAAACUCUCUUUUAGUUUCAUUAUGCAGCUCCAGUAUUAGUAAUGACAUUUAAAAUAGAGUUAAUUCCUCAGAUUACAACUGCAGCCAAUAGCACGUUAAACAGCUAAUCUCUGCAUCAGACAAUGUUCAAAAUCCUAUAAAACAAGGAGGGCUCACAAACCUUCCAUAUCCUAACAGAGCUUUGCUAGUGAAAACAAGUUGUGCAAAACUCACAGAGAAUUGGCAUAUUCAGCCCUCUUGGUUAUUGUGCAAGUGCAAAUGAACAUCCCCUCCCUUCCAGAGUAUUUCUAAAAAUUCAGAUAUUUUGAGAGAAAAUCUACAAGCAGUCUGCAUUGUGCUGGGCACCACUCUGCCUGGUUCAAGGGUGAGAAAAUCCUAUGUUACCUCCAUGGAAAAGCGGGCAUGGCCCAGAUGCAAGCUCCUCACCAGACACCCAUGAGGGCAGGACCAGCACUGGCUCCUAGUGUCCCUUAAGAUUUGUGUAAUUUGUUUCCAUAAAGGUCUGACAGUGUUCAAGUAGGGAGUUAAGGGCAGUAUCUUUCAAAACUGUCACGUGUAUGUACUGCAAUACUCGCCAUAUGCCCAGCAUGUGCUAUUCAAAUAAAACCCACAAAUGCCAUACAAGCUCAUUCAGAGUCAGAAAUUCAAAAUGAGAAAAAGAAAAAGGUAAGAUUAUAUGUAAGAUGAAAAGAGUAUUACAGGAGGAGUUCACUUUUAAAGCCAGAUAGAAAAAGGUUUAUUUCAUGCUACUUACAUCUAUCUAAAAUUAGAAUGGGUGUCUAGAUGACUUUUCAAUCACAGUCAUACUAUACGAUAAGCAACUGAUACUCAAAUUGUAUCUCCCAGUGAGAUAACAAUUUCUAAUAUGCCAAAAAAUCUACCAUCUUGUUAAUACAGAUCUAAAACAGGAAUGAAGCUAUUUAAGUCUUUAUAAGACGUUACAUUUGAUGAAAAUAGCUAUUUUUAACCUAUCAUAUCCGCAGUAUCAGAACAGGGAACAAAUUAAGUUACACUUCUAAAAUAUUAAUUGAAAGUACAGUUCACUAUUUUUAAACUAAAGCAUAGGAUUGUGUAUUUUAUACAGAAAUAAGUGUUUUAAGAAAAACACAGUAAAAAGCAAAGGAUAUGUCUUUGUAGUGAAAGUUAGAGCUUCUUGAAUUGUUUAAAAGGUUUUAAAUGUCAAAUGGUUUGCACUAAUUUUCAUAACAUACCAAACCUAUAGCAAUAUAUCUACUGAGUUGGUAUUUUUCAUGCCUGGAUGAAUGGAGUGAGGUGGGCAGAAACCUGCACAAAUCCCCAGGCUUGAAGGACAUUGACCAAUGGUUUACUCCCCACUGCCAGCUAGCAAUGAGCCCUGCAGGGAUCAAUUUUGUGGCCCAUAUGAAUCAACAUCUUACCAGUUGCCCUGACCCGGGCAAGGGCAUAGACUACAUGCUAACAAGUUUGCAGAUGACAUUAAAUUAGGAGGAUGAGAUGGCAUGCCAAAUGGCAGAGCUUCAAUCAGGACAUUCCUUGGCUUGAGACUGGGCCAGAAGACACUUCAUGAGGUUCAACAGAAGCGCAAAGGUCUGCACCUGAGGCAGAAAAAUCCC
Molecule: long non-coding RNA, 2870 nt
Organism: Strigops habroptila (Kakapo)
Lineage: Eukaryota; Metazoa; Chordata; Aves; Psittaciformes; Psittacidae
Source: Ensembl